GCUGGGGAGGGGGCUCCGCGCUCCGCUCCCCCCGCGGGCAGGCACCGCCCGCCCCUCCCCGGUGCCUUCCCACACCCGGGCCGCGCCGAGCGGGAGGCCCCCGGGGGCUGCUGGUGACGGGAGGGCGGGGGGUCGCUCCGCGCUGCCCUCAUGGCUCAGGCGGGGGUCGCUGCCGCCCGUGUGCCCCUCCGGGGCUGACGAGGCAGCACCGGGCAGCCGCGGCCUCCCGGAGGCCGGAGCGGGAUAUCCCCGCGCCUCGCCUGCCCCCCACAUCAUCGCGGGGUUGGGGUUCGGGAGCUCGGUGCAGCCGUGUGGGCCCAUCCCAGGCCGGUACCUCACAGGCGGGAGCCGGCAGGCCACGGGGAAUGAGGUGGGGGUUUUUCUGCCAGGCUCGUUUGGGGUGUCUUCAUUUUGCAGCCCACUUUUUUUUUUUUGCAGGAAGCGUGGGGGUCCCAGGAAACACCCUGAAGCGUGGUCAGGUGCCAGAGUCCAACUACACUCCCAGAGAACCUUUGCCUGCCACAGUUAGUCUAAACAAGCAACAUCAAACAAACCAUCUGUGAAAAGAAAAACAGCCAUAAUCACGUUUCCAGCCAGCACUCUGCUGACCCAUGAUACAGGAAAAAUGCAGAGGAUUAGGAACGCUUUCCCUGGUUGCUCAGGCAACAGCAAGACAUGGGAAUAUGAAAAGCUGUUGCGAGCGUGAAGGGACAUGUCUUUGGGCCCUCCUCCCUCCGCCUCCACAUUGGCAGAGGUGAGGCAUCGGGUUUCCUGACACGCCUCGGUACAGGUGCCUCUGGCUCCGCGGCAGGAGGGAGCAGCCAGCCCCGCUCGGGCACGCCUCUGCCAGCCCCUGUCAUCCACAGCUCCCGCUCUGCUGCUCCAUCAGCCCGGAAAUAUCCUCACGGGGCUCGGCCAGGGGCUCACGAAAUCCCUCCUCCCAACAAGGGGAUGAGUAAGGACUCGCCGAGCCGGGGAAUCCGAAUGACAAGGCACAGACAGCAUCGCGUCAGACACCGGGGGCAUCCCUUCGAAGGCGACGGACAGCUCGUGACAAGGGACACCACGGGGUCACAUCGAUGGCGAUUUUCUCCCGAGCCCGGCUUCCCAGCAGCGUGGGGAGGUGCUGAAAGUAGGCUGAGGUUCUCCAAGUGAGCGCUGCGAGGGUUCCAGGGGCAGCUCUGAGACGGGAGCAUCCCCAUGGUUUGUGCCCCAGGCUUUGCUGGGUGCGGUUUCGUGCCUUGCAGCAGCUCUCAGCCCUCCCUGGCUCUUCUCGGACAGAGCAAAGCCCGUGCUCGCUGCCGUGUCUGUGACCAACCAGCCCAGCACCCCCAGCCCACGAGGACCAUUCCUGGUAAGCACAGAGCACCUCAAAAUUCGCUCCAGCACGAGGAGGCUCAGGUGGGGCUCCCACACAGGAGGUGCAUCCUCCCCACUCCCCAAAGGAAGUGACUAAGCCGAGCCUUACCAAGCCAGCCUAGCUGCUUGCACAGUGUUCUACCCCAGCAGCCCUCCACCCUGCCCAGAGCCUCUGCUCCUUCACACAGGGCACUGCAAAGGUGUCCCUACAGGACAAUCAAGGGGGUGGGGAAAAUUCACUUUAUGUGCAACCACUGCAUUGGCCCUUAUGCUCUUCGAGCAGCCCAGCAGAGCCUGGACAAACAGGGACAAGGCACCAGGGCAGAAUCUGUGUAAUCAGCCCUGCUUGCAGCAGCAGCACAGCCUGGAAAUAAUCCACAGCUUGGCUGGGUCUAUAAAUACACCUGUGAGCAAGAGGUGGCACAGCAAAAGCUCCUGGUCCUUAAGCAAACAUGUAACUCCUGGGUUGUUUGAUGAACACAGCCCUUGCUCAGCUGCUGCUGCACACACAGGCAAUUAGGGAGUCCUGAAUGGCUGGGGCAGGUCUGGGCUCUACUGAGAUGAGUUAAGUCUGUGACCAAAUCAAGCAGGAAACUUUAGAAUUGUGGGAAAAAAGACAAGAAGCCCCAUGGCAGCAGAGUCAGCCUGCCCUGUCCCCUCCCAGCCAUCACACCCAGGCUCCCCCACAGCACAGCAGAGAAAUUCCCACCAUGCUAAAACUCAACACUUCCCAGUGCAAGAGGUUUCCAAGUACCAGCAGUGCAGUAAAUCUGAAAAAUAGAUUUUAUUUUUAACCAGUGGUAUUGUGACAUCUUAUCUGGCAUUACCAAUUACAGCAAAAUCCAUGGAUAGAAACAAACUAGCAGAUCUCUGCUUUUGGGUGCAGCACGGUGCCCAGGCAGCUGAGCACAGCACGGCACUGGCAGCAGGGAGUUUGUGCCCCAGGGGCUCCCUCAGAGGACAGACUCCAAUGAACCAUUCCCACUCACACACACAGACACACCCACACACACAACACCGAGAGGUUUUAAAAAUCUUUAGCAAUAUUUCCGCAUGAAAUCACACUGUAGCAUCUACACAGAAAAUGGCUGAUAAAAAUAAUCUUGCUUGUAGGUUUACAUAGUGUAUCUACAUUUUUAUUUGAAUACCCAGACUGCUGGCCCAGCAGAAAAGGGAGGUUUUUUGUCUUGAUUUUGUUGGGCUGUGGAGAGUUUUAUCCUAGAGCACAACAGAGCUGCUCUCUACAUCUCAGCCCAGACCUUUACUGAACUUCUGGCCUGAAGAGAUCGCUGGGAAGUCACCUAGGAAGAAUCAAUGGCUUUGUCAUCCACGUCCCAUCCCUUUGUGCUGCCUCUUCAAACAUGGGGCAAAAACACUACAAAAACACUCUCUGCCCCACAGGUAACAAGAAUACAAAAUACUGCAAAAGCCUUUCUCCUCACAUACACGGGUACAUUGCCCACACAGGAUGCCUGCAACAAAUUAAAAGUCUAAAAAUGUUUCCUCCAGAAGCCCUAAAAUUGGGCUCCUGAGUUCCCCAGCUACAGAUGGAGCACACAACCAUGCUGAGAAACCUCCCUCCUGCCAGCCUCUAACUCUGGGCACUUCACUCAUGCAGAGUCCUGGAAAAUACAAAAUAUCUGAGCCAUGUUUGUAUUCAAACAUACUCCCUUCUCAUGUUUCCUCAGGCAGAGAUCAACCUGCUAAGAAAUAGCCAAGAAGCUCUUAUGUGAGAGGAUAAAAAAACUUCUAGUAAAUGUUAGUUUUAUGUAUAUAAAUAUUUGUAUUUAUAGAUAUAGACAGUGAAAGGGUGAUUGUGUGUUUAUGCAUGCUUAUUUCUUUGCUUUGGGUUCCAAUACUUC
Long non-coding RNA from Onychostruthus taczanowskii (white-rumped snowfinch), 3221 nucleotides. RefSeq lists it as uncharacterized. The record is from RefSeq and is a predicted model, not a curated record. The transcript is spliced from 3 exons. Lineage: Eukaryota; Metazoa; Chordata; Aves; Passeriformes; Passeridae.